ACGGAAGACAGGAUGGUUGCAGCCUCUGUGGAACUUAAGGUAGUUCUUCCCUUUGGGGGAAAGACACCAUUUGCAAUUUGAUCUCUGCCUGGAAUCCUAAGACCAAUUUCCUCGGAGUCUCUGCAGCUGGGCCCUGGCACCAGUAUUUUUGACAACUACUCAGCGUUGUAUCCACUCACAUGACCUCAGUUUAUGAAAACGUGACUGCAGGUGGGGGCUCGAACAGAAGCUGCCGGUAGGAGCAGUGUUGGGAAAAGCUUCACAGAGGAGAUGAGCAAGCCUUGGAGGAUUUACAGGAUUUCACCAGGUAGAGAAGAAAAAGAAUGUCAAGCAGGGAGUCUAUCCAUGGGAAGGAAGCAUGAGAGCACAUUCUGCAGAGAAUGGAAUAGUCCAGAAUGGCUAAAACAUAACUUCCACACACGGCAAUGUUUGUGACCAUGUGAAAGAGGCGUUAGAUUAGUUGAAAUGAAACUAAUCAUUCAGAUUGUGGCAGAGCUAUGAAGGAAUUUGAAUACAUUAAUUUUUUUUCUGUUGUCAUUAUGCAGCCUUGGAAUGUCUUGACUAGGGAAGUAGGAGAGACCAGGCUGAGGUUUUAUGAAGGUAAUUCUACAGCAAUGAGAAUGCUGAGUUUUAUAAAAGUUCAAAAUAUAUUGCUUAAUAAGUUAACAAUUUGCUAAGAAUUUAGUCAAUAAAAAUGUGUUUAUCUACCUGUAAAAUAAAAGCUAUGAAUUGAUAUCUUAAAAGCUUUAGGAAUCUUAAGUAUCAAUCACCAUAACAUGGCAAUCUCACUCUAAAUAUACUGCAUGCAAAUUUUAGAUAAACCUAUGAAUGAGUCUACGUUACCCAAUAUAAAAAUUUUCUUUUAAAUCAGUAUGUAUGUUUGCAAGAUAAAAAUUACACUCUAAUCUACAAAUAUCAAACUCUUAAAGCAAAUUAAAAUAAAACAUUUGUUAUAAGUA
This is a long non-coding RNA of Suricata suricatta (meerkat), 959 nucleotides long. RefSeq lists it as uncharacterized. The record is from RefSeq and is a predicted model, not a curated record. Lineage: Eukaryota; Metazoa; Chordata; Mammalia; Carnivora; Herpestidae. The transcript is spliced from 4 exons.